GACGAACGCUGGCGGCGUGCUUAACACAUGCAAGUCGAACGGUGAAGCGCCUUCCUUUUUGGUGGGUGUGGAUGAGUGGCGAACGGGUGAGUAACACGUGAGUCACCUGCCCCCUUCUUCUGGAUAACCGCAUGAAAGUGUGGCUAAUACGGGAUAUUCUGGGUCUGUCGCAUGAUGGGUCUGGGAAAGAUAUUGUUUCGGUGGGGGAUGGGCUCGCGGCCUAUCAGCUUGUUGGUGGGGUGAUGGCCUACCAAGGCGGUGACGGGUAGCCGGCCUGAGAGGGUGGACGGUCACACUGGGACUGAGACACGGCCCAGACUCCUACGGGAGGCAGCAGUGGGGAAUAUUGCACAAUGGGCGCAAGCCUGAUGCAGCGACGCCGCGUGAGGGAUGGAGGCCUUCGGGUUGUGAACCUCUUUCGCCAGUGAAGCAGGCCUGCCUCGUUUGUGGGUGGGUUGACGGUAGCUGGAUAAGAAGCGCCGGCUAACUACGUG
RNAcentral lists this ribosomal RNA (494 nucleotides) under uncultured bacterium. Its description in RNAcentral is "partial 16S ribosomal RNA". It matches the Rfam family "Bacterial small subunit ribosomal RNA", at positions 28 to 507 of the family's 1533-position model. The record is from RNAcentral.